AUUGAAACUGACCCUACUUCUGCAACUCCAGCAUUAGUCAGCAAAACUGUGUAUAUUCAGACCCCUAUAUAAGGAUUCCAGGAUCAGUUAGAGGGAGUUCUGACUGUAACAGCAGCAGACUCCGUAUUGUAUUAGUCCAGGGGACAGACAAUACGAAUCCAGAAUUCUGUAUUUGCACAUUUCUCAUAUCAAU
Molecule: long non-coding RNA, 193 nt
Organism: Melanotaenia boesemani (Boeseman's rainbowfish)
Lineage: Eukaryota; Metazoa; Chordata; Actinopteri; Atheriniformes; Melanotaeniidae
Exons: 3
Source: RefSeq, a predicted model, not a curated record